Non-coding RNA from Steccherinum ochraceum, 118 nucleotides. The record is from the annotation of a GenBank genome assembly. NCBI's taxonomy places the organism in Eukaryota, Fungi, Basidiomycota, Agaricomycetes, Polyporales, Steccherinaceae.
GGCACUAUAGCCAAGUGGUUAAGGCGAUAGAUUCGAAUCACGUGUUCCUUCCGUAGGAUCGGAACCUUCGAAGAUCUAUUCCGCAUUGCGGUCGCAGGUUCAAAUCCUGCUGGUGUCG